GACUGAUAAGGUUUGAAGACUGAACUCUCUCUACAUGGCCUUUCAAUCAGCUUCUUACAUCAAGGUUGUGGCUGACAGACAUCUCUCUGACUGUCAUAGGAACGAACAUGCUGAUUCAGAUCAAGGUAUUCUGUGGCCCACUGCUUGGACUCCAAUAUUGGCUAGAAGUGGAUGAAUGCCAAGAAAAAAAGUAAAAAUAGGGGUUCACAGUGAUUUGUGUAAAUACAAGCCAUGACUUAGGAUCUUAUCAGUAAAAUCCACCUUUGUAGAAGACAGGAGUAACAAGAAUCCAAGA
This 295-nucleotide long non-coding RNA is filed under the name Calidris pugnax (ruff). Its description in RNAcentral is "lncRNA (ENSCPUG00000010328.1)". The record is from RNAcentral. Lineage: Eukaryota; Metazoa; Chordata; Aves; Charadriiformes; Scolopacidae.